GCCGGACGCAGUGGCGUGCACCUGUAAUCAUAGCAGCUUCCAAGGCUGAGGCAGGAGGAUCACAAGUUCAAAGCCAGCCUCAGCAAAAGUGAGUCCCUAAGCAAUUCAGUGAGACCCUGCCUCUA
Molecule: small RNA, 125 nt
Filed under: Marmota monax (woodchuck)
Lineage: Eukaryota; Metazoa; Chordata; Mammalia; Rodentia; Sciuridae
Source: RNAcentral